CAACCGUAUCGGAAGGUGCGGCUGGAUCACCUCCUU
This 36-nucleotide ribosomal RNA is filed under the name Paracidovorax avenae. RNAcentral's name for it is "Acidovorax avenae partial 16S ribosomal RNA". The record is from RNAcentral. Lineage: Bacteria; Pseudomonadati; Pseudomonadota; Betaproteobacteria; Burkholderiales; Comamonadaceae.